GAAACUGGGAUGUGAGCAGGGAGGUGGGGGUGAGCUGGGUCUCUGCCCCUCUAAGCAAAGCCCUCUCUGCCCCAUGCUGCAGGUGCUGGAGUGACCACCCAGGACAUCUGCAGCUCUCCAGGAUUGCAGGAGCAUGGAGGUAACGACCAGACUCCAGUCCUGUACCUCAACGCUUCCAGUGCCAAGGAGGGGGAAAUAAUUCUCUUUCAGUGUGCCAUUGAUUGGCAGUUUCCUGCUACACGAGUUGUCUUCUGCAAGAAUGGGCAGGAGGAGUUCAGCCUGAAAGCCCAGCAGGGCAAGGUCAUCUAUGCUCUGGUCCUGAACAUCACCUCCAGAAGUGCUGGGACGUACAAGUGUGGGUACCAGCAGAGGAACGAGAGCAACUGGGUGAGGAACUCUGCUCUCAGUGCUCCCCAGACCUUGUCUGUGGCAGGCAGCAGCCCCUCACACAAGGCCCAGCUCCCUUCCAGAGGGUCAGCCAUGCCCCUGGAGGUCUGGAUCCUGCGCUCUGCCCUCAGCCUGCUCCUGCUGCUGUCUGCCCCCAUCAUCACCCUCCUCCUGGAAAGAUGCAGCCACGGUGCCCACGA
This is a non-coding RNA of Anas platyrhynchos (mallard), 587 nucleotides long. NCBI's taxonomy places the organism in Eukaryota, Metazoa, Chordata, Aves, Anseriformes, Anatidae. The record is from RefSeq and is a predicted model, not a curated record.